AUAGCUGAGGAAGAACGGAGGGACGUGGAAGUAGUGGACAAAACAUUUUUUGUCUUUGGAAAAGAAGAAAGAAGGAUAAAAACCUUUACUCUCAACUCAACAUCAACAACUAGAAUAAUAAUAACUAGCUAGCUACCUAAAAAAACAAGCACGAGAAAGAAAAAGAAGAAGAAGAAAAAAAGAAAAAGGAAAACAAACUCCUCCGGCCCAAACAAAGAAAGCCCAGCCCAUUCAAGAAACCAGACAACGAAAAGGGAAAAAAAGCUGAAAGAAUUAAAAAAAAUAAAAGAACAAAAAUAAUGACAGUGAUUUGAAUUAUUUAAGAACAAGAAGAGAAAAGAAAAAGGUAACCAUGACAAAAAUAAAGCAAAUAAACCCCAUAAAACUUUAUCGGGAAUGAUGCUGUAACCUUGGGUCCCUUGAUCCCAUCGCACCAGUAGGAGUAGU
Molecule: small RNA, 447 nt
Filed under: Histoplasma capsulatum var. duboisii H88
Lineage: Eukaryota; Fungi; Ascomycota; Eurotiomycetes; Onygenales; Ajellomycetaceae
Description: Histoplasma capsulatum H88 hypothetical RNA
Source: RNAcentral